AAACCGGUGGAUUACUGAGUCAAGCGCACCAACUAAACUGACUUUUUUGGGAUAUAAAGAAGGACUUUAUCGAACAAAAGGUCCAUUUGUUAUGUAGCUGGGACACUUGUGAUUGCAACCAGAUGAAGAUCUUGAAAGAAAGACCUUUGUGAAGACCAACUUACAGAAGAGGAGAGGCAAUAACAUCUUUUCAGUCUGGAAAAACACCAAGGCUUGAUGGGAUACCAGUAGAGCUGUCAGGCGGAACCGCAGACAGUUCCAGGAUCAGGGUCUGUCAGAAGAUAAUACAACAAUGCAGAUCAGCCCAACAGGCGACACUACCGCAUUAAAACAGUAAACGCAACAACUUGCCUCUCCACAUCUCUGCAUCAACUGUGUAAAACAACAGACAUGUCUGCGGAAUAAGAAGAGCGGUAAUAAGAAAAUGAUUUGGUAAAAACGAAUGAGCCUACCUAGAAUGCAAUGACUACAAACCUCCAUGAUGUUCGACUCUUCCACGAUGGCCAGAAGUGAGCCGCCGAUGUCUCGGUGAUAAGCUGUCGUUUCUGUGCCGACGUGCUCCAUAUGUUUCCUGUCCACGCCUCUACCUCGCUUGCUCCUAGACGGUGGGAACAGAUGCGAAGCCGGGGCACCUCGCCACCGGAAUGAAGAAACGGGAGAUGACGUGACAAGGCGCGGCAUGACGGCUGCGCCACAAGAGGGCUAAUCCAAAACACACAGACUUUCUCUCCAUGUGACCUCCACCAGGCAUACCCACCGUGGGGUUUUAAUUGACUACUGACGUAACCCCCAGG
Molecule: long non-coding RNA, 794 nt
Filed under: Salmo salar (Atlantic salmon)
Lineage: Eukaryota; Metazoa; Chordata; Actinopteri; Salmoniformes; Salmonidae
Description: lncRNA (ENSSSAG00000104509.1)
Source: RNAcentral